RNAcentral lists this ribosomal RNA (579 nucleotides) under Nocardiopsis sp. SD5. RNAcentral describes it as "bacterial SSU rRNA". It matches the Rfam family "Bacterial small subunit ribosomal RNA", at positions 1 to 586 of the family's 1533-position model. Lineage: Bacteria; Bacillati; Actinomycetota; Actinomycetes; Streptosporangiales; Nocardiopsidaceae. The record is from RNAcentral.
GAAGGUUUUNNANCAUGCCUCAGGACGAAAGCCGGCGGGCGUGCUUACACAUGCACGUCGAGCCGGUAAGGCCUUCGGGGUACNCGAGCGGUGAACGGGUGAGUAACACGUGAGCAACCUGCCCCUGACUCCGGGAUAAGCNGUGGAAACGCCGUCUAAUACCGGAUACGACCCUCCUCUCGCAUGGUGGGGGGUGGAAAGUUUUUUCGGUNGGGGAUGGGCUCGCGGCCUAUCAGCUUGUUGGUGGGGUAACGGCCUACCAAGGCGAUUACGGGUAGCCGGCCUGAGAGGGCGACCGGCCACACUGGGACUGAGACACGGCCCAGACUCCUGCGGGAGGCAGCAGUGGGGAAUAUUGCGCAAUGGGUGAAAGCCNGACGCAGGGACGCCGCGUGGGGGAUGACGNCCUUCGGGUUGUAAACCUCUUUUACCACUCACGCAGGCCCCACGUUUUCGUGGGGUUGACGGUAGGUGGGGAAUAAGGACCGGCUAACUACGUGCCAGCAGCCGCGGUAAUACGUAGGGUCCGAGCGUUGUCCGGAAUUAUUGGGCGUAAAGAGCUCGUAGGCGUUGUUNCAU